RNAcentral lists this small nuclear RNA (19 nucleotides) under Arabidopsis thaliana (thale cress). RNAcentral's name for it is "snRNA_18707". Lineage: Eukaryota; Viridiplantae; Streptophyta; Magnoliopsida; Brassicales; Brassicaceae. The record is from RNAcentral.
GACAACUCGAGGGUCGUGG